This 253-nucleotide ribosomal RNA is filed under the name uncultured bacterium. Its description in RNAcentral is "partial 16S ribosomal RNA". It matches the Rfam family "Bacterial small subunit ribosomal RNA", at positions 524 to 776 of the family's 1533-position model. The record is from RNAcentral.
UACGUAGGUGGCAAGCGUUGUCCGGAUUUACUGGGCGUAAAGAGCGCGCAGGCGGUUCUCCAAGUCCGUUGUGAAAGCCCCGGGCUCAACCUGGGAAUGGCAGUGGAAACUAGGGGACUUGAAUCUGGCAGAGGGGGGUGGAAUUCCACGUGUAGCAGUGAAAUGCGUAGAGAUGUGGAGGAACACCGAUGGCGAAGGCAGCCCCCUGGGCUGAGAUUGACGCUCAGGCACGAAAGCGUGGGGAGCAAACAGG